UUCAUAUUUUUCCUCUUUUCUCUCUUAUGUGGUUAUGGGUACUGCGAUGGUUAUCCGUAGCGACUUGAUGCUCACUCACCUAGCAACAACUGAUUCAUGUAUCAGUUUACUGAAUUUCUUAUGUUCAUUAUUGAGUGCUACUCGAUCGGUGAUUCAUCCUCCCGAGAAAUUGAGUAUCAUAGUGCCACUAAUCCAAAGAAGACAUCGUGGGUUGGAAAUGGAGAGAAGAGUAAAGGCAGAAUGAGAAAGGAGUAAAGGAUUGCCUUCCACCAAGGGUAAUAACCAACCAACAAGGUGCCUGAACAUAUUGCAAGAUUUUGAAAAGUGACAACUCGGAUAAAAUGGCAGUGUCUAAGCUCA
Long non-coding RNA from Lotus japonicus, 360 nucleotides. RefSeq lists it as uncharacterized. The record is from RefSeq and is a predicted model, not a curated record. The transcript has 4 exons. NCBI's taxonomy places the organism in Eukaryota, Viridiplantae, Streptophyta, Magnoliopsida, Fabales, Fabaceae.